RNAcentral lists this ribosomal RNA (1530 nucleotides) under uncultured bacterium. RNAcentral describes it as "partial 16S ribosomal RNA". It matches the Rfam family "Bacterial small subunit ribosomal RNA". The record is from RNAcentral.
AGAGUUUGAUCCUGGCUCAGAUCGAACGCUGGCGGCAUGCCUUACACAUGCAAGUCGAACGGUAACAGGUCUUUCGGGAUGCUGACGAGUGGCGAACGGGUGAGUAAUACAUCGGAACGUGCCCAGUAAUGGGGGAUAGCUCGGCGAAAGCCGGAUUAAUACCGCAUACGCCCUGAGGGGGAAAGUGGGGGACCGCAAGGCCUCACGUUAUUGGAGCGGCCGAUGGCUGAUUAGCUAGUUGGUAGGGUGAAGGCCUACCAAGGCGACGAUCAGUAGCUGGUCUGAGAGGACGAUCAGCCACACUGGGACUGAGACACGGCCCAGACUCCUACGGGAGGCAGCAGUGGGGAAUUUUGGACAAUGGGGGAAACCCUGAUCCAGCAAUGCCGCGUGUGCGAAGAAGGCCUUCGGGUUGUAAAGCACUUUUGUCAGGGAAGAAAUCCUUUGGGCUAAUACCCUAGGGGGAUGACGGUACCUGAAGAAUAAGCACCGGCUAACUACGUGCCAGCAGUCGCGGUAAUACGUAGGGUGCAAGCGUUAAUCGGAAUUACUGGGCGUAAAGCGUGCGCAGGCGGUUGUGUAAGACAGGUGUGAAAUCCCCGGGCUUAACCUGGGAAUUGCAUUUGUGACUGCACGACUAGAGUGUGUCAGAGGGGGGUGGAAUUCCACGUGUAGUUGGGGAUUUACUUCCUUGGUAACGUAGCUAACGGUGAAAUGCGUAGAGAUGUGGAGGAACACCAGUGGCGAAGGCGGCUUUCUGGUCUGUAACUGACGCUGAGGCGCGAAAGCGUGGGGAGCAAACAGGAUUAGAUACCCUGGUAGUCCACGCCGUAAACGAUGAGUGCUAAGUGUUAGAGGGUUUCCGCCCUUUAGUGCUGCAGCUAACGCAUUAAGCACUCCGCCUGGGGAGUACGGCCGCAAGGCUGAAACUCAAAGGAAUUGACGGGGGCCCGCACAAGCGGCGGAGCAUGUUGCUUAAUUCGACGCGACGCGAAGAACCUUACCAGGGCUUGACAUGUAGGGAAAAGCCGCAGAGAUGUGGUGUCCGCAAGGGCCCUACACAGGUGUUGCAUGGCUGUCGUCAGCUCGUGUCGUGAGAUGUUGGGUUAAGUCCCGCAACGAGCGCAACCCUUGUCCUAUGUUGCCAGCGGAUAACGCCGGGGACUCAUAGGAGACUGCCGGGGUCAACUCGGAGGAAGGUGGGGACGACGUCAAGUCAUCAUGGCCCUUAUGUCCUGGGCUGCAAACAUGCUACAAUGGCCGGUACAGAGGGCUGCAAACCCGCGAGGGGGAGCCAAUCCCAAAAAGCCGGUCUCAGUUCGGAUCGGGGUCUGCAACUCGACCCCGUGAAGUCGGAGUCGCUAGUAAUCGCGGAUCAGCAAUGCCGCGGUGAAUACGUUCCCGGGCCUUGUACACACCGCCCGUCACGUCACGAAAGUCGGUAACACCCGAAGCCAGUGGCCCAACCCUCGGGAGGGAGCUGUCGAAGGUGGGAUCGGCGAUUGGGACGAAGUCGUAACAAGGUAGCCG